This is an RNA transcript of Numida meleagris (helmeted guineafowl), 3659 nucleotides long. It is a transcript of the gene named somatomedin-B and thrombospondin type-1 domain-containing protein-like, with no coding region annotated. NCBI's taxonomy places the organism in Eukaryota, Metazoa, Chordata, Aves, Galliformes, Numididae. The record is from RefSeq and is a predicted model, not a curated record. The transcript is spliced from 8 exons.
GCCCAGGCGGCCCAUAAAGCGCGGUGCGCGCGGCUCAGCGGCCUCUUGCUGCGUCGUGGGGAGGUCCCGAAGCACGCUGGGCCUGCUCGAUGGACGGCUGCAGCUGCCCGGCUCGCUGUGCCGUGCCAGAGCCUCUGAUGGGCCUCUAUGAAGGCAGAAUGCCAUUGGGCCUGUUGGAGACCUGAUGGGAUGGCUGUAGCCAGCAGUGGAUCAGCUAUGUGAUGAACACGGUUGUGCUGGCUUGCACCACUGUGCCUGAACCUUUAGCAGGCCUCUAUGAAGGCAGAGGGACGCUGGGCCUGCUGGAGACCUGAUGUGAUGGCUGUAGCCAGCAGUGAAUCAGCUGUGUGAUGACUGAGCCUUGGCUUUCUCUACCGUGUAUUUCCUCUUGAUGGAGGAGCAAAGGUUGAGUGAGAUCUCUCAGGAAGGCCCCAGGAUCUGCUGUGAUUUCAGUGUACUAGGUGAAAGCUGUCUUCUGCUAAUUCUGUUUCUCUCCAUGCUGCUGCCUGUGAUCCCUUGUCCACACUACAGUAUCCGCAUCACUCUGCAACAACUCUUGAGUCUUUUCUCUUGGUGUCUUGCCAACUCACAGAUGGAGGGUGUUGUAUUUUUUCCUUCAUAUGAUGCAUUUAAUCAUAAUGGAUCCUGGAAUUUGCUGCAGGUUUUAUGUAAUUGGAUGACUUUUGUCUGCAAGGGCUGUAUUCACUGCCUGACAACUAAUGCUACUUGACAUUAAAAGUACAGAAGCCUUAAAAAGCUGUUGUAUAUUGGAUGAUGGCCUUGUGUACAAGGAGAGGGUUUUUAAAUAAAAUCUGAAUACUGAAUGAACUCAACUGUCGAAUAAAACUGUCCUUCAUACCUCUAACAGCCAAUUUCUCUAUCUCCUAGUUGUUGAUUUUUGGAGUUGGGUGGUGACAGUGCAUUUGUGUGGUGAUUGUUUCCAUGGAACUGCUUUCUGCCAACUAAGGAGAAAGGGUCGUGGUCUCAUGGCAGGAUAGCUAAUCCUCACAUACUCUGAAACAAAAGGUGCUUAACUGAGAUGUGUAGCAGCUGACAUUCCCUAGGAGACUAUAGUGCACUGGGAGUUGUAGAUGGCCUGGUAAAAGAUGUAGGAUAUCAUGUUCCAGGUAAGUAGGUUACAGUAGCUUUGCACAGUCUUCAUACAUGAGUCCUUCCGAGACUUAACAGCAGUCUAGGAAGGAGGAGGAGCUGAUGUCAGCUUCUGUAAGGUUUGGAUAUCUCCCUCAUGCAGUGUGAUCAGCUAGCAAAAAUGACUGCUGUUGGCUAGAGAGACUAGUGGCAGAUGUUGAUUCAGCUCCUGCAGCCCUCCCCUGGAUGCUUUUUGGCAGUCUUCCCAGUCUGCAGAGCAGGAGAAUUAAAUAUGAAUUCUAUGCAUGUGCUGAAGUAGGGAAGCACUGAACAAGAUGGUUUCCCUAAGACCAGAGAAAAAGUUGAAGCCCUAGAGUAUGUUGUGUCUUGUAUCUCCAGACUUCUUGCAGUAGCUCUGUAAAAUAGGCAUGCCUGGCCUCAAUGGGAGCAAAACAUUUUAUCAAUGAACUUGUACUGUGCAAUGACCACUUGGGGUUGAAUAGUGCCAAGUCUGCCUUCUGCCUGAGGAAGGUAUUCUCCAUCUGUUGUGACCAUUAGCCUGGCAGUCAAAUGGUGUCUGCAUGGUGCACAGUCAGACAGGCCUUGGCAGAUGGCUUAUGCAGGUCCUGGUCUGGUAGCAUUUGUAUACCCCACUGGUAAUGCAAAUGAAGUAGAACAGCGUCUUCAAGCUGUUGUGGAAAGCUGGGACCUGUAUUAACCGAGUGUCUCAAACAGCAUGAGCUGAGAUUGAAACCCCAGGCCUAAUGAUGGAAGUAGUCAGUUACCUACGUGCUGCUGUUGAGAAGCAGCACAAUAGUUCAUAGGUUCAUUAGGAAUGUGUUUUAAAACCAAUCCUGCAGCCUCAUUGGUUUCCUGAGGAGCAGGGCCACCUGUCAGUGUGUUGCUAGUCCUGGGCUGGUUCUGAUGGGUCAUGUAUGCAAAUACCAAGUAAGUGGCUGCUGCCUGAAAGCAGCUGGAUGCUUAUGCUCUACAGUGAGCUUGCUAGCCCAGCAGCCACAGUUCUGCUUGAAGCACCUGAAGGGCAAAAAAUGAUUUGGAUAACAGGCUAAGGAAAUAUUUAAGGAACUAUUUCCUUCUUCAUUUUAAGUAUUUAAAUGUUAUUUUUACUGCUUGAUAGCAACAACUUAAUAUUUUAAUAGCUUGGUAGUUAUUUAAAGCACCUAAAAUCUCUACAGGGCAUUCUCAUUUCUUAUAACCGUAAAUAAGUUUCAGUCAUUGUAGGAGUGGAUUUGAUAUCUGAACUGACAGUUGCCUUGAGAUGUAUGUCUAAUAGGAUAUGGUGAUGAUGGAAAAUAAUCAACAUGUGAAAAGGAGUCUUCCAUUAAGCUGGGUAGAUUACUAUAAACAGUGUAAUCUCAUGAAGCAACAUAUUAAUGAGGGAUUGAAGUUGCUAAUAAAAUUUAAUCUAAGCAGAGUAUCUACCAGCAAGCUUCUGUGGAUUAUGGAGUAGAGACUGCUAGUUGUCUGACAGGGCAGGUACAUCUGAAAUGUCCUUUGUGUGUUUUAUCUCUCACCAAGAAAUCAGGUCAGGAUUGAAGCUUUGGUGCUACUCAGGCAUGUGCAGGGAUGGAUGAUGGAAGUGGGGAUGGCUGAUCUACAGUAAGCAACUCAGAAGCAUUCCAGGCUGGAGAGAUGGAACUGAAUUGUGUGCAGUGAGCUGGGCUCAGGGAUCUGACUGGGCAGCUGCAGGGGGUGCUGUGUGCAUACCUUUCCCAAAGCUUAAUUAAGGUCCAAACAGACAGGUUUUUCCUCAUCAACUGUUCAUUCUGUGUGUUUAUAGUCAGGAUACUUUCGCUUGGUCACUAUAGCAGUUUGCUGUAGUAACGGUGGAUUAGUGUUUGAGAUUUGUCUGUGCGAACAACUAGUUUGAGAGCAGAGAGAAACUCUGAAAGUAAAUCUGAACUUGUCAGAGGCUUUUAUACUUAGAAGGGUAAAGGUGGUCUUCUAUACUGACAGGCUUUUGUUUCAAAGCUUUUUUUCUGGAGUUUCUGAUGUGCCUGCAAACAGCAGGGCACCUCUAGGUAUGGUUUCAUUCUACAUCUGUUGCCAUAAUCUUUCUGGAACUGAUUUGGUUCUAGAGGGCCUCCCCUGGCACUCCUUCCGGACCUGUGCUCCAAACCCCUAUGCACCUUUGAGGAGAAUCCUGUGAGGAGAGGCUGAGCAUGGUCGUGGGCUCUCUGGUGUGCUCUGAGCUCAGUUAUCCCCUGCGUUGUAUCUCAGUGGAGUGCCUGGAGUGGCUGCGCAGAGCCUUGCAAGACCACGUAUCGUGUUCGGAGGAGGCAUGUCAUCCAGGAGCCCCGGAAUGGAGGAGAGUCAUGUCCUGCCUUGGAGGAGAGGGCUGGCUGCGUGGAGUACUGGACUGAGCAAGGAACAGAGUGUAAACAGUCCCUGAGUAAGUCCUCUGAAAAUUCCCCGCGUUAAUAACAACAGGAGGGUUUGGAAAAGCAAGGAAAAAAAGAGCUGCAGUCGAUGGCAAUGAAAGAGCAGGGUACUGUGUGGAGUUCCAGCUUGUGGCCAUCACACAGGGCUGCCUGCACAGUCACCACUCG